This 497-nucleotide ribosomal RNA is filed under the name uncultured bacterium. RNAcentral's name for it is "partial 16S ribosomal RNA". It matches the Rfam family "Bacterial small subunit ribosomal RNA", at positions 28 to 507 of the family's 1533-position model. The record is from RNAcentral.
GACGAACGCUGGCGGCGUGCCUAAUACAUGCAAGUAGAACGCUGAAGAGAGGAGCUUGCUCUUCUUGGAUGAGUUGCGAACGGGUGAGUAACGCGUAGGUAACCUGCCUGGUAGCGGGGGAUAACUAUUGGAAACGAUAGCUAAUACCGCAUAAAAUUGAUUAUUGCAUGAUAAUUAAUUGAAAGAUGCAACUGCAUCACUACCAGAUGGACCUGCGUUGUAUUAGCUAGUUGGUGAGGUAACGGCUCACCAAGGCGACGAUACAUAGCCGACCUGAGAGGGUGAUCGGCCCCACUGGGACUGGGACACGGCCCAGACUCCUACGGGAGGCAGCAGUAGGGAAUCUUCGGCAAUGGGGGGAACCCUGACCGAGCAACGCCGCGGGAGUGAAGAAGGUUUUCGGAUCGUAAAGCUCUGUUGUAAGAGAAGAACGGGUGUGAGAGUGGAAAGUUCACACUGUGACGGUAUCUUACCAGAAAGGGACGGCUAACUACGUG